GGCAAAUAAGGUUGAUCUAUAACUUGGUAACCAAAACAUUAAAAGGGAUGUAAGGAAAGAUUUCACUUAGGGAGCUUACCAUUUGAUUUUUAUGGGGGGGCUAGGAUGAAAAAUUUUGUCCUGCUUUUUUUUUUUAGUUGUAAUCUCUGUCCUGCCUUUUUAUUUUUUACUCUAUUCGGUCCCGCCUUUUUUUUACUAGUUUAUCCUGACUUUUUUUACACAAAUUGUCAUCUUAACUUUUUUUUUACCAAGUUGCUCAUCCUGCCUUUUUUUUUUACUCAAAACUCCUGUCCUGCCUAUUUUUUUCAAAUUUCAUCCUAGCCCCCCCCCCCCCCAUAAAAAUCAAAUGGUAGCUCCCUAAAAGAUAGUAUGGUAGAUAUUCAAACAAGAAGUAGUCACAGUGACAUGGCAAUAUAAACACCUUUAGUGUAGUUUGUUGUUGAUAUUCACUAAAACAGCCAUUAUAAGUAUACCGACAUCUAUUUUCAUAAUUAUU
This 496-nucleotide long non-coding RNA is filed under the name Mytilus galloprovincialis (Mediterranean mussel). The record is from RNAcentral. Lineage: Eukaryota; Metazoa; Mollusca; Bivalvia; Mytilida; Mytilidae.